This 468-nucleotide ribosomal RNA is filed under the name uncultured bacterium. Its description in RNAcentral is "partial 16S ribosomal RNA". It matches the Rfam family "Bacterial small subunit ribosomal RNA", at positions 28 to 507 of the family's 1533-position model. The record is from RNAcentral.
GACGAACGCUGGCGGCGUGCUUAACACAUGCAAGUCGAACGGAAAGGCCCUGCUUUUGUGGGGUGCUCGAGUGGCGAACGGGUGAGUAACACGUGAGUAACCUGCCCUUGACUUUGGGAUAACUUCAGGAAACUGGGGCUAAUACCGGAUAGGAGCUCCUGCUGCAUGGUGGGGGUUGGAAAGUUUCGGCGGUUGGGGAUGGACUCGCGGCUUAUCAGCUUGUUGGUGGGGUAGUGGCUUACCAAGGCUUUGACGGGUAGCCGGCCUGAGAGGGUGACCGGCAAAAUUGGGACUGAGAUACGGCCCAGACUACUACGGGAGGCAGCAGUGGGGAAGAUUGCACAAUGGGCGGAAGCCUGAUGCAGAAACGCCGCGUGCGGGAUGACGGCCUUCGGGUUGUAAACCGCUUUCGCCUGUGACGAAGCGUGAGUGACGGUAAUGGGUAAAGAAGCACCGGCUAACUACGUG